RNAcentral lists this transfer RNA (67 nucleotides) under Rattus norvegicus (Norway rat). It matches the Rfam family "tRNA". From Rfam's summary of the family: Transfer RNA (tRNA) molecules are approximately 80 nucleotides in length. Their secondary structure includes four short double-helical elements and three loops (D, anti-codon, and T loops). Further hydrogen bonds mediate the characteristic L-shaped molecular structure. tRNAs have two regions of fundamental functional importance: the anti-codon, which is responsible for specific mRNA codon recognition, and the 3' end, to which the tRNAs corresponding amino acid is attached (by aminoacyl-tRNA synthetases). tRNAs cope with the degeneracy of the genetic code in two manners: having more than one tRNA (with a specific anti-codon) for a particular amino acid; and 'wobble' base-pairing, i.e. permitting non-standard base-pairing at the 3rd anti-codon position. Lineage: Eukaryota; Metazoa; Chordata; Mammalia; Rodentia; Muridae. The record is from Rfam by way of RNAcentral.
GGAUUUAGCUCAGUGGUAGAGCGCUUGCCUAGCAAGCGCAAGGCCCUGGGUUCGUUCCCCAGGUCCG